UACGAACUGUGCAAACGUUAUUCGGAAUCACUGGGCUUAAAGGGUGCGUAGGCGGCCAUUUAAGUAGGGUGUGAAAGCCCCCGGCUCAACCGGGGAAUUGCGUCCUAAACUGGAUGGCUGGAGUGAGAUAGAGGUGUGUGGAACUUCCGGUGGAGCGGUGAAAUGUGUUGAUAUCGGAAGGAACGCCGGUGGCGAAAGCGACACACUGGGUCUCAACUGACGCUGAGGCACGAAAGCCAGGGGAGCGAACGGG
RNAcentral lists this ribosomal RNA (253 nucleotides) under uncultured bacterium. RNAcentral's name for it is "partial 16S ribosomal RNA". It matches the Rfam family "Bacterial small subunit ribosomal RNA", at positions 524 to 776 of the family's 1533-position model. The record is from RNAcentral.